GGUUGUGGGGAGGGGCGAGCUCGGGCCUGGGACGCCUGGAGUCUGGGGGCACGAGAGCCUCGUACCAGUCUGGAUACUUGCGGGGCGAGGGCCACUGGUGUCCGGGCCGCCGCCGCCCCCUUCCUCUGCAGUCUGCCUACAACAGCUGCUUGGGACACUGAGGACCCCAGGGCCGGGACCCCCUGGACCGACUGACUCAUCCACAGACUGACCCAUAAAUAUCUGGGGGCGGAUGCAAACCACACACAACUUUCAGAGCUAACACCAGUGCCCCAGAGCCCAACCUGGCUCAAGCCCCCGCCGCCUGCCGCCGCUGCCCCUUUGCAGCUGUGAACUAAUCUGGGUUUACUUCAUUCGGGGUGUGGGGUCUACUUGGGUAGGACGCCGGCCCCGCCCCGCCUCCGCUCAGUGCCCCAGCAGGUGGAGCACUCCAGUGAUGUCACCCUCCCGCCCCUUUUCCGCAUUUUUCUCUUUGACUACAGGUAGGGCAGGCAUAGGCUGGCUUGCUUCCAGGAGCCGGCCUGAGCCUCACCCCACCUCCCAAACAAGGGGCUGGUCUGUGCUGGGGUGGUGGGAUGCCCCUGUCUCCCCAGGCAGGAGCUUGGCUGAAGACCCAGCCGGUGCCAGGGCUGUGGAGGUCUGGGAUCGGCCUCCUACUCAGGCCCAGGCUGAGAACCCAGAGUAGGGCUUCCUCCCCGGGACAGGGCCAUCUGGGUCAUGCUGUCCCUCCCUCAGCCUCUGUCCUGUCGACCACCCGUACUUGGCACCGACAGUGCGCCUGGCAGAGGGACCCACACAGGAGAGAGCAGUUGAGCAAGCGUACAGAAAUGCAAUUGAUGUUUAUAGCAGCAAUGUCCGCAACAGCCGACCUCUGGAAGAGCCCCAGUGUCCCCCGACAGACCAGUGGAUAAAGAGGAUGUGGUCUGUAUAUGCACCACGGACUGUUCUGCAGACAUCAGAACAUGAAGUCUUGCCAUUUACAGCGACGUGGAUGGAACUGCAGGGUUAUGCGGAGCCAAAUAACUCGGUCAGAGAAAGACCAUGAUCAUAUGACGUCACUUGUGUGUGGAAUUUCAGAAAUGAAACAAAGUUGCACAGGGGAAGGAAGGGAAAAUAAAACAAGGCGAGAUCAGAGAGGAGACGAGCCACAAGACUCUUACCUCUAAGAAACAAACUGAGGGAUGUUGGAGGGGAAUAGGAUGGGGGGGUGUAGGAUGGGGGGGUGGGGUAACUGGGUAAUUAAGGACACCUGGUGGAAUGAGCACUGGGUGGUAUAUGCAACUGACGAACCAUCACCUCUACCUCUGAAACUAACGAUUCGCUAUAUGUUAAUUAACUGAAUUUAUUUUACUUUUUUUUUUUNN
This 1364-nucleotide long non-coding RNA is filed under the name Mustela putorius furo (domestic ferret). Its description in RNAcentral is "lncRNA (ENSMPUG00000028367.1)". The record is from RNAcentral. Lineage: Eukaryota; Metazoa; Chordata; Mammalia; Carnivora; Mustelidae.